RNAcentral lists this ribosomal RNA (253 nucleotides) under uncultured bacterium. Its description in RNAcentral is "partial 16S ribosomal RNA". It matches the Rfam family "Bacterial small subunit ribosomal RNA", at positions 524 to 776 of the family's 1533-position model. The record is from RNAcentral.
UACGAAGGGGGCUAGCGUUGCUCGGAAUUACUGGGCGUAAAGCGCACGUAGUCGGCUUUGCAAGUCGGUUGUGAAAUCCCCGGGCUCAACCUGGGAACUGCAUCCGAGACUGCAUUGCUAGAGUAUGGGAGAGGAAAGCGGAAUUUCUGGUGUAGCAGUGAAAUGCGUAGAUAUCAGAAGGAACAUCAGUGGCGAAGGCGGCUUUCUGGACCAAUACUGACGAUCAGGUGCGAAAGCGUGGGGAGCAAACAGG